GAGCAAACUAAACUCAAAGCUCCAGAAGGAAGCAAAUAAUAAAGAUUAGAUCAAAGAUGAGUAAAAUAGAAAAACCAUAGAAUCAACACAGGCAAAAAUUCUUGAAAAGAUUAGCACAAGUGGUAAAACCCUUAGAUUUACAAAGGACAAAAGAUGAUGUGACUGAUGGGCUGAGGUUGUGGCUCAGUGGUAAAGUGCUCGCCUAGCAUGUGUGAGGCACGGGGUUCGAUCCUCAGCACCACAUAGAGAUGAAGUGAAGAUAUUGUGUCCACGUAAAACUAAAAUAAAUAAAAGAUGAUGUGACUGAAAGUAGGAAUAUUAUUACCAACCUUACCAAAAAAGGAAGAUAUAAUACCGUGAAUGGUUUUGUACCAACAGGUUAGAUAGGCUGUAAGAAAGCAAAAAAAUUUAUAGAAACACAAAAAUUAUGAAAAUUGACUCUAUCUAAACAUACCAGUAACAAACAACAAGUUUGAAUUAGUAAUUAAAACUCCCAGCAAACAAAAAAAAUAAAAAAUAAAAAAAAAAAUAAAAAAAUAAAAAAACUCCCAGCAAAGAAAAGUUAAGAAUUAAACUACCUUCACUGCUAGCAUUUAAUGAAUACCCAACUUUCUCAAUUCUUUCAGCAUAUUGAAGAGGAGGGAACAUUAAUUUAUUCUGUGAGGCCAGCAAUAAAUACCCUGAUACCCAAGCCAAACAAAGAGCCUAUAAAAAAAGAAAAUUACAAACCUGUAUCACUUAUGGCUAAAGAUGCAAAUCUCUGAAAAGCAUAAUAUCAAACUAAAUACAGGAACAUCUUAAAAGUAUUCUAUCCUAUGACCACAUGGGGUUUAGCCCAGGAGUAGAAGAGUAUUUCAGCUCCAAGAGAGCCAAUCAGUGUGAUCCACCAAAGGAACAGAAAGAAGUAUGAAAACCAUGAUCACCUCAACUCAUGCAGAAAAAAACUGGGCAAAUUCCAACUUUGAUGAUUUUAAAAAAACCAAACAAACUGAUAAAAGGCACAUGGGGAAAACCACAGCUGACAUCAUGCUCAGAAGUAAAAGACUAACAUUUGCCCUAAUAUCAGGAACAGGAGAGAGAUGGCCUGCAUCACCACUGCUGCUCAGCAUUGUACUGGAAGUACAGAUUCCAGAGCAGUUAGACAAGAAAAUGAAAUAACCAAUGUCCAAAGCAGAAAGAAAGAUGUAAAAUGAUUUCCAUAAGACAACUCCAUAUGUAUGAACCACAGAAUCCACAGGAAAACUACUAGAGCUAAUAAAUUCAGCAAAAGUUUGGGGCCCAGAUCACUGUUUACACACACCAGCAAUGAACCAAUCUGAAGGGGAAUUAAGAACACACUUCUAUUUACAUUAGCAUCAGUGGUAGGGGGAAAUCCCAGGAAUAAUUUUAAUCAAGAAGAUAUAAAACUUAUUCACCAAAGACUGCAAAACAUUGUUAAAAAAGAUCAAAGCAAGCAAGAAAACAGAAGACAUCUUGUGUUCACAACUUGGAGGACUUAAUAUUCUUAAGAUGCCCAAACUAUACAAAAUGGCUACAGAUUCAGUGCAAUUUCUAUCAAAAUUUCAGUGGCAUUUUUUUGCAGAACCUAAAAGGUUCAUCCUUAAAUUCAUGUGGAAUUACAAAGGGCCCUGAAUGGCCAGUCUUGGAGAACAGAGUUGGAGGAUUUACGUGACUCGGUUUCAGGCUUACUACAAAACUGCAGUAGUCAAAAUUGUUUGGUCCUGUCAUGAAGAUGGAAUUGACUAUCCAGAAAUAAAUCCAUACAUCUGUGACCAGUUGCUUUUUAGCAGGGAUGAUAAGAUCUUCCAGUCUAUGAGGAAAGAUAGCCCUUCAAUACAUGGCACUGUAGCAAGUAACCCAACAUCCCAGAGUUGGAACCAGGCACAGCAGUGCACACCUGUGAUCCUGGCAACUCAGGGGGCUGAGGAGGAAGAUCACAAGUUCAAGGGAAAGUUUUAUUUUGUUUUUUAAUUUUGUUAAUUUUGUUAAUUUUUUAGUUGUUGAUGGAUUUUUAUUUAUUUAUAUGUGGUGCUGAGACUCAAACCCAAUGCCUGGCACAUGCUAGGCAAGCCCUGUACCACUGAGCUACAACCCCAGCCCAAGGCAAAGUUUGAUCACAAGUUUUGAGUCUCAAUUUUUCAAAAAGGGUGGGGGAACUUGGGCUGUAUCUCAAUGGUAAAGCACCUCUGGGUUCAAUCCCCAGUACAAAAAAAAAAAAUGAAGCUGGAUUCCUACCAAUGCUGUAUACAGAAAUUAAUUGAAAUGAAUCAAAGAUAUUAAGAGCUUAGAAAGCAUCAAAGUCUUGGAAGGAAAUAGGAGCAAAUCUUCACAACCCUGCAUUUGGCAAUGGAUUCAUUAGAACAUCAAAGGCACAAGCAACAAAAGAAAAAUAAAUGAAUUUGACUUGAUCAAUCAAAGGACAUUAUCAAGAAAGUGCAAAGACAUCCUACAUAAUGGGGGCAAAUCUUUGUAAAUCAUGUUAUGUGAUAAAGGUCUAGUACUGGAAUAUAUUAAAGAAGUCUUACAAUCCAACAACAAAACAACACACCUUAAAAAUGGACAAGGAGCCAGGUGUGGUGGCACAUGCCUGUAAUCCCAGCAACUUGUGAGGUUGAGGCAGGUUUGCAAGUCCAAGACCAGCCUCAGCAACUUGCAAGAUUCUGUCUCAAAAUACAUUUUGAAAAAUGGGCUAGGGAAGUAGCUCAGUAGUAGAGCAACCCUUGGUUCUAUCCCCAUUACCGGAGUAGGCAAUGGGUUUGGAGGGCUGUGGGUAGGCAAAAGACUGACUACAAAUAAAUGACUAACAAAUGAAAAGAGGCUUAACAUCAUUAGUCAGUAAAGAACUGCAAAUCAAAACCAGAAUCAGAUUGCCACUAGAGUGUCUGUCCACAAUAAAAAUAAAAAUUAAAAAAAAAAAAAGACAUUGCUCUGUAAUGAAGGGUGGGUGGUUGCAUAGCACUGUGAACGUGCUAAAUGCCACCAAGUUGCUUACUGUAGAAUAGUUAACUUCCGUAGUGUGAGUUCCAUCCUAAUAAAUCAUAAAAUGGAAACAGAAUCCCCUGCAAGAGGUGGGCAUAGUGGAGCCACCUGAAUGUGAGGUGUUUCUUUGGGGUCUGUACCACAGGUGGGCUGGCCUUGCACUGAGAUGGCUGCUACACCCCAUGAUUUGUGACAGGUGACAGUCAUGUGGGAUCCCAGGAGUGUGGUCAUGGCUAACGGACUCGAAGCCAUGUUGCACACAUCUGAAAGCCAUUAUUCAAACACCAUUCACAGAAAGGUAUUGUCUCCCAAAGGAAAUACUGUCAGAUGAUUUUGUGCUAGAAGGGCUGACUCCCAGUACAUAAGAAUGUAGUGCAGGCAACUGUUUACUGUCAGAUCUUUUCCUUUGCCUUUAAACAUAAGUUUUAGUAAUAUUUCCUAGAUUUUCCUAAAUGGAAACUAUUUUUCUGAUUUUUAUAGUUCCUUUUUAAAGAACUUUUUAUCAUUCUUUGCUACAGUUUGCAGGUUGCAAAGAUAAAGUACAUCGAAUUUAAUAAGUCCAUAAAGUGAUCUUCUACCAUUCACAGAAUUCAUUUUUGAUACCUGUCUCAAUAAAACUGAUUUAAGCCAUGACUCAGGCUAGAAAGCCCUAUUGUCACACCAGUGACAUUCAGUCAGGACACCAGAUUCCGCUGGCAGACUGUAUUUUAUGGCUAGCAGGCUUAUACUGGUUUUGAGGGUUUUUAAGGGUUGUUUGUUUUUUAAAAAAAAAAAACAACAAAGAUCAUUUCACAAGCCAAGCAACCAAAAAGCUUCAGAUAGGUUCUCUCUGACCUGUACAGAAAAUCAUUACUGACUGCUGUUUCUAGACCCCAUGGAGCCCGGGUUCCUGCAGUCUGUGUGGAAUAUGACACAAAGGGCAGCAGGAAGGAAAGAGGCACCACUGUCCCUGUAGGCAUAGGUAGCAGUUCCAUGGGUGUACUGCAUCCUGCAGGGGCACUGUGGCUGAGAAUGCCUGUGAGAAGCAUGAAGCCUCACCAUAGACACAUGAGUGCAGCAGGCAGCAGCUGGGCCUGUGAGGGCUGGCCAUGUGGCCAGAUCAGUCUGCAGUGAUGCCAUUGGCAGCUCCUGGGCACAGAUAUGUCCAUGCUGGAAGCAAGUUCUGGAUGUCACAGAUAGAAUAGGGAGAAGCACUGAGAGAACAGGACAAAGGUACCAUUAGGCCAAGGAGGCAGCACAGGGCACUGGAAGGGUACCCCUCACCACCAAGCAUCAGUGACUGCAGCUGGCCGUCCUAUGUCAGGGAGUGGUCCAGGCAGUAUAGGAGACAGCAGGGACAGGUGAUGAAGAGAAGGGGGUUGGCAUACAUACAGUGGUCAGGGAAAGGCUGUCUAGCAAGGUGUGUUUGAGCAGAGGCCAGCAGGAAGGCCACAUGGAGAGUGUUCCAGGCAGGGUGAGCACCAUAACUUGGAACUGGCUUUGCUUCUUAUAAAGGAACAGGCUGCUGCUCAUCUGAAGCAGGCUUUAUCUCCCAUGCUGGUGAAUCCUGAGACCAAGCCUGAAUGCCACAAGCUGGCACUGAGAGAACAAAAGAUGGGCCUAAGAGGUUUUUGGUAUGAAGAAAAAAGGUAAAGUGUGUAACAGUAUAAGAAAGCAUGUGAUUUUCCUUGUAUGAUUUUCCUUGUAUGAUUGGGAGGGCACCUGAAUUGAGGCAUAUUCCCAAUUAGAGCUCACUGACCUUGCUGAUGGCCUACUAUGGGUGUGACAGGAAGUGGGAGCCAAAAGCCACCCGAGUCUUGACCUGAGCCAGUGUGCAGGCUGGUGCAUUCUUGAAAUGUGGAUCCUAGGGAGAGUGGGUUCCCUCCCUCCCUCCCUUCCUCCCUCCCUUCCUUCCUUCCUUCCUUUCUUUUUAAUAAUGUUAUUGUAUUAUUUUAUUUAUUUAUAAACCCAAUGCCUCAUACAUGCUAGGCAAGCACUCUACCACUGAGCUAUAUCCACAGCCCCGAGGGUGGGAUCUUGAUCAUCCUUAGCUCCCCUGCAGCCUUGUGACCUCAGCUCUUACAGCCUCUCCCUGGGCUUUUUGCAAGACCAGGGGCUGCUGCUGGCAGUGGGAUCUCUGCUUUCUUCACCAGCUCCUCCAUAGAGGUGAGGUCAGCAGCUCUGCAGACCCAUCUGUGUCUGCUGUUCCUGUCACUGUGGUUCCUUAUAUAACUUCAGUGUUUGUUGUUUCAGAUUGUGGUAUUAGGACAGAGGACAAGGAGUUUCACCCAAAGGAAGACGUUUUGGAGGAUUUGGAAUCACAGGCAGAAAUGUCAGAAGACUGUGCUGGUGAUAUUUCCCAGGUAUCUGAGCUUGGAGGACUUUGUGAUGACAUAUUAGCCAGAGACUGGGGUGUCCCUGAAGGCAAGAGCCUGGGGCAGUCCACACACCGGGAUGGAGAUUUGAUGUCAGUAACAGUGCUCCUUAAGGGCCCUUUAGGGGAGAAAGGUCUGGACUGCAGUGGUGUUGACCAAAGCUUCAAUCUGAGCCCCAGCCAGAUGACACAUCAGGAAGUCCCUACAAAAGAGAAGCUGCAUCCAGAUGACACAGAUGGCCAGAGCUUUCAACACAGUGUGUACCUAAGUGGCCCUGAGGGGCUUCCCAUAGCUGAAAGCCCACUCAUAUGUAAUGGGUGUGGAAAAACCUUCAGUGGCAACCUUGACCUUAUUCAGCAUCAGAUAAACAGCACUGGAGAGAAGUCCUGUGAGUGCAGUGAAUGUGGAGCACCCUUCAGUCAGAACUCGGUUGUUAAAAAACCCCAUCGAGCUCACUUGAAUAUGAAAGCCUACCAGGGGCACACAGGCCCUGCUGGGUGUCAGGGUCUCCCCAGCAGUGAGAAGCCGUAUGUGUGUAAUGAAUGUGGGAGAGCCUUCAGCCAGAACGCAAGCCUUAAAAAGCACCAAAAGUCUCACAUGAAUGAGAAGCCCUAUGAAUGCAACGAAUGUGGGCAGGCUUUCAGGCGCAGCUCCAACCUCAUUCAGCAUCAAAGAAUUCAUUCAGGGGAGAGACCAUAUGUGUGUGAGGAAUGUGGUAAGGCCUUCAGGCGGAGCUCAAAUCUCAUUAAACACCACAGGGUUCACACAGGUGAGAAGCCUUUCGAGUGUAAGGAGUGUGGGAAGGCCUUCAGCCAGAGCGCACACCUCAGGAAGCACCAGAGGGUUCACACUGGAGAAAAGCCCUAUGAAUGUAACGAUUGUGGCAAACCCUUCAGUCGUGUCUCCAACCUCAUUAAGCAUCACAGGGUUCACACUGGAGAGAAGCCUUACAAGUGCAGCGACUGUGGGAAAGCCUUUAGUCAGAGUUCCAGCCUUAUUCAGCACCGACGAGUUCACACUGGAGAGAAACCUCACGUGUGCAGCGUGUGUGGAAAAGCGUUCAGUUAUAGCUCAGUGCUCAGGAAGCACCAGAUAAUCCACACAGGAGAGAAGCCGUAUGGAUGUGGUAUCUGUGGAAAGGCCUUCAGCCACAGCUCAGCCCUCAUCCAGCAUCAGGGCGUGCACACUGGCGACAAGCCCUACGAGUGCCGCGAAUGUGGGAAGACCUUUGGUCGCAGCUCCAACCUCAUCCUUCACCAGCGAGUCCACACUGGAGAGAAACCCUAUGAAUGCACUGAGUGUGGAAAGACCUUUAGCCAGAGCUCAACCCUUAUUCAGCACCAGAGGAUUCAUAAUGGGUUGAAACCCCAUGAAUGUAACCAGUGUGGUAAGGCCUUCAACCGAAGCUCCAAUCUCAUUCACCACCAGAAAGUUCACACUGGAGAGAAGCCCUAUACGUGUGUUGAGUGUGGUAAGGGCUUCAGCCAGAGCUCACACCUUAUUCAGCAUCAGAUAAUCCACACUGGUGAGAGGCCGUAUAAAUGCAGUGAGUGUGGGAAGGCCUUCAGUCAGCGUUCAGUUCUGAUCCAACACCAGAGGAUUCACACUGGGGUGAAGCCCUACAACUGCGCUACUUGUGGGAAAGCCUUCAGCCAGCGGUCAAAGCUGAUUAAACACCAGUUGAUUCAUACCAGGGAGUAACUUGUGGGCUAAAAGGAGUAAAACUGAACCAUGGUUCCUUUCUGACACCUAUGGAUCCUUGUUUCAGCCUCUCCCUUCCCAGGCCUGAGGCUCACUCACUGCCCUCCACUCCAUACAAAGCCUGGAGCCCUCCUUGGAAACACUCUUUCCAGACUCCCUCCCCUUCCAUUGCUUUCAGAUCCUGUGAUCUCUCGUCUGUUUUUUCUGUUUUAUUUUUAUUAUGAGCAGACUGUCACAUUGGUUAGGUGGCAAAGAACAUGAGGGCCACAUAUUCAUGAAUGAAGUUUAUCAUGAUGAUGAAAAUUACCAAAAAGUAAAGUGAUCUUUGAUUGGAGAUAACCACAGUAACUCUUUUGUUAGUCGUGGGAGUGAGUUCUCUGUCAGUGACUGACUCACUCUCGCUCUCUCUAUAUAUAUAUAUACACAUACAUACACACACACACACACGCAUAUAUACAUACAUAUAUAUACACACACAUAUUUAAUAUGACAUCAAGUGGAGGGAGUUUUCAGGUCUGAUUGCUCUCUUAUUGUCCCCAGAGGUGGUAUGCCAAUUAUUUAUUCUUCUAUCCCUCCCUUUCUGCAACUUGUACCCAGACCCCCACUGCCUUGCUUCCCUGUGCAUACCUGUGGUCAGUUAGUCAUCCUCCUUGCUGCUGUGCUAUGACCCAGGUCCCAGCCUCUGGUUUCUGUGCCUCCAGUGCUGGACCCACAAUGGCAGCUCUUUGUACCUCCUUUUCCAGUGAGGAAGCUUCCAGGAUCAAUCUUCUCCCAGAUCAGUCUUCAUCACCAGACAUCUUUUAAGCAAGUACCAGGUGCCCUGCCCUAGGGCCCACCUCCUCAGUGUCCCCUAUGCCCUGAAAAGGAGACAGGUUAGGUGCAACAUAGAUGUUACAAGAGAGGCCUCUGAACUCCAGCCAGCAAGUUGCAACAACAGAGUGUCGCAGGACCCAGACAGAAUCUGACCCACCACCUGUCAGUAAAUAAAAGUUCUGUUGGGGUACAGCCAUGCCUAUUUGCUUACACAUAUCUACAGCAGCUUCUGUGUGGCAGAGUUGAGUAGUUGUAGACAUCAUAUGGCCCACCAAACCAGAGUAUUUACUUUCUAGCCUUUACAGAAGAAGUGUGCAACCUGGCUUUAGGCAGCUACCCUGUGGUAGGUGACUCUCAGGGCCAGGCUUUGCCAGAGGCUCACAGUUGUUGUAGGAAUCAAGGUAUGAUGUCUUGAUCAGGAGUAUAGUUUGUGCUGUGCAGUGGUUUCCCGUGUACAGUGGAUGGUUCCUGAGCAGUUGCCACAGCCUCUGAGGAUCCCUCCCUUCUCACCUCUUCCUAACACUAUUCCUCAGGAGGAGCAUGCAGCCUAGCAUGGACCUGAGUUCUUGCUUCAGUUUUGUGAGAACUAAACAUCCUGGUCGUGGCAGCCUUGGUUAGAUAUUACCAUUCAUAGAAUAUUAGAAUCUCAGAAUCACUAGGAGAGCUAAAGAAACAGGUUUGGGGCCAACUUCAGGAAAGAUUCCAGAACCAUCUGUGCAGCAGCCCUGCAACUUGUAGCUGUUCUGUACUUGGGAUUCCUAGGUGUCUACAAGAAUCUAAGUGGAGAAAGAGAGAGCUAUUAAAUGAAUCUGAACCUUAAAGCAGAUUUGGGAUGGAGAUGUCAACUUGAAAAUCACUGGCAUUUUUUUUAAGAGAGAAUUUUUUUAAUAUUUAUUUUUAGUUUUUGGUGGACACAACAUCUUUAUUUUAUUUUUAUGUGGUGCUGAGGAUCAAACCCAGAGCCCCGCGCAUGCCAGGCGCUACCUCUUGAGCCACAUCCCCAGCCCCAUCACUGGCAUUUUUUAAGAUGUGGGACUAGGAAUGUAGCUUAGUGGUAGAGCUUUUGCUUAACAUGUCUGGGGCCCUGAGUUCAGUUCCAAGCACUGCCAAAAUUAAUAAUAAAAUGGGAUAUGAAUCUCUGGAAAAGCAUGAGAUAAUUAGGGAGAGGAUUAGGAAGGGAACUCGGAACAGAGGAUUGAUACUCCCAACACUGAGCAUUGGCUAGUGAGAAGGUGGGUCUUGAGACACCCAGCAUUAAAUAUUGUUGCAGGAAGAGCAACACAGCACCUGUGGGGAAGAGGGACGCAAGUGACCAGGAGGGGUUACCACAUCAAACGCUGUGGUGAAGAGAUGUGGCUGCCCAAAGACCUGCUUUGUUGGAGUAGGAGGGCAGGAAGGAGCCAGGCAGUGUGAGGCUGGUGGAAGUGGAAGGAAGAAUGAAUUAAGCCCUUCCAAAGCCAAGAGGGGUAAGUUUUGAACAGUCAGAGGCUUCUGCAUUGCUCCAGGUACAGAGAAAAUGGACAAUAUAGUUAGUUUUGUAGGUAUGGUGGGAAGGUGAGGUUCCAGGACAGAAGAGGCAAGAUCAUCCACUAAAAAUGGGGAUAGGGAAGUUGUGGACAAUGUGAAGAAAAGAAAAGGAAGAGUUGGCUAGGAGUAGGGAAGGUCUGGACUUGAGCUGGAUGGGCUGUGCCCCAAGUCUCAACCCAAAAGCAACAUCUGCACUCUGCUCUAAGGUUUCACCUCCACCGGCACACCCUUACCAAGGCAAAUCCCUGCAGAGAAACAGCCACCUCUGGAGUUUUGAGAUCACUCCCUGCAGCAUAGAAAGAA
This 9677-nucleotide long non-coding RNA is filed under the name Marmota monax (woodchuck). Lineage: Eukaryota; Metazoa; Chordata; Mammalia; Rodentia; Sciuridae. The record is from RNAcentral.